Molecule: transfer RNA, 77 nt
Filed under: Nitrospirae bacterium GWC2_57_9
Lineage: Bacteria; Pseudomonadati; Nitrospirota
Also listed under: 1 other name
Description: tRNA-Val
Rfam family: tRNA
About the family: Transfer RNA (tRNA) molecules are approximately 80 nucleotides in length. Their secondary structure includes four short double-helical elements and three loops (D, anti-codon, and T loops).
Source: RNAcentral
AGGCCCGUAGCUCAGCUGGGAUGAGCGCUUCCCUGACACGGAAGAGGUCAGCGGUUCGAUCCCGCUCGGGCCUACCA